RNAcentral lists this ribosomal RNA (599 nucleotides) under Klebsiella aerogenes. RNAcentral describes it as "partial 16S ribosomal RNA". The record is from RNAcentral. Lineage: Bacteria; Pseudomonadati; Pseudomonadota; Gammaproteobacteria; Enterobacterales; Enterobacteriaceae.
GAAUUCACUAGUGAUUGUGAAGCUUACGGUUACCUUGUUACGACUUCACCCCAGUCAUGAACCACAAAGUGGUAAGCGCCCUCCCGAAGGUUAAGCUACCUACUUCUUUUGCAACCCACUCCCAUGGUGUGACGGGCGGUGUGUACAAGGCCCGGGAACGUAUUCACCGUAGCAUUCUGAUCUACGAUUACUAGCGAUUCCGACUUCAUGGAGUCGAGUUGCAGACUCCAAUCCGGACUACGACGCACUUUAUGAGGUCCGCUUGCUCUCGCGAGUUCGCUUCUCUUUGUAUGCGCCAUUGUAGCACGUGUGUAGCCCUACUCGUAAGGGCCAUGAUGACUUGACGUCAUCCCCACCUUCCUCCAGUUUAUCACUGGCAGUCUCCUUUGAGUUCCCGGCCGGACCGCUGGCAACAAAGGAUAAGGGUUGCGCUCGUUGCGGGACUUAACCCAACAUUUCACAACACGAGCUGACGACAGCCAUGCAGCACCUGUCUCAGAGUUCCCGAAGGCACCAAUCCAUCUCUGGAAAGUUCUCUGGAUGUCAAGAGUAGGUAAGGUUCUUCGCGUUGCAUCGAAUUAAACCACAUGCUCCACCGC